UAAGGAAUAUUGGUCAAUGGACGCAAGUCUGAACCAGCCAUGCCGCGUGGAGGAUGAAGGCCCUCUGGGUUGUAAACUUCUUUUAUUGGGGAAGAACUCUACUUUUUCUAAGGUAGUUGACGGUACCCGAUGAAUAAGCACCGGCUAACUCCGUGCCAGCAGCCGCGGUAAUACGGAGGGUGCAAGCGUUAUCCGGAUUCACUGGGUUUAAAGGGUGCGUAGGUGGGCAGGUAAGUCAGUGGUGAAAUCUCCGGGCUUAACCCGGGAACUGCCGUUGAUACUAUCUGUCUUGAAUGUAGUGGAGGUGAGCGGAAUAUGUCAUGUAGCGGUGAAAUGCUUAGAUAUGACAUAGAACACCCAUUGCGAAGGCAGCUCGCUACACUAUUAUUGACACUGAGGCACGAAAGCGUGGGGAUCAAACAGGAUUAGAUACCCUGGUAGUCCACGCCCUAAACGAUGGAUACUCGACAUCAGCGAUACACAGUUGGUGUCUGAGCGAAAGCAUUAAGUAUCCCACCUGGGAAGUACGACCGCAAGGUUG
This 541-nucleotide ribosomal RNA is filed under the name uncultured bacterium. RNAcentral's name for it is "bacterial SSU rRNA". It matches the Rfam family "Bacterial small subunit ribosomal RNA", at positions 355 to 896 of the family's 1533-position model. The record is from RNAcentral.